Molecule: long non-coding RNA, 2622 nt
Organism: Cercocebus atys (sooty mangabey)
Lineage: Eukaryota; Metazoa; Chordata; Mammalia; Primates; Cercopithecidae
Exons: 3
Source: RefSeq, a predicted model, not a curated record
AUUCAACUUCCUGCCUGCCGGCCGCAGGGCCUGGUUCCCAGCCUGUCAACCUUGGCACCCCAGCACCCCAGUGGGAGGGGUUUCUGCUUGUGAUCCCCUGGCCACCAGCCUUGACCAGCUGGUUGCGGACCAGCUGUGACCUGUGGCAACCCAGCCAACCUCACCAUCCAGUGGGCUGCAGCCACCUCUCUCCAGUGAGGUCUGAGCCCCAGCCUUAAGGAGGCUACCCCCUUCCAGGGUCUGUCUGUGUUACCCAGGCUGGAGUGCAGUGGUGUGAUCUCUGCUCACUGCAGGCUUGACCUCCCAGCAGACUCAAGCAAUCCUCCUGCCUCAUCCUCCCGAGUAGCUGGGACUACAGGUGUGCACCACCACGCCCAGCUAAGAUCUUUUUUAAAAUGCUUAAUCCAGAAGUCAUUACAAACAAAUACUAGAUCUUAUUUAUUCUAUCUAACUAUAUUUCUGUAUGCAUUAACCAUUCUGCCUUCCCCUCCUCCACUACCCUUCCCAAUCUCUGGUAACCAUCCUUCUACUCUCUGUCUCCAGGAGUUCAACUGUUUUUCAUUUUUGGCUCCCACAAAUAAGUGAAAACUUUUGAAGCUUGUUUCUGUGUCCAGCUUAUUAGCAUCAUGACCUCGAGUUCCAUUCAUGUUGUCACAAAUGACAAGAUCUCAUUCUUUUUUAUGGCUGAAUAGUACUCCAUUACAUAAAUGUACCACAUUUUCUUUAUGCAUUCAUCUGUUUUUUUUGUUUUUGUUUUGUUUUGUUUUUGUUUUGAGAUGGAGUCUCCACCUGUCACACAGGCUGGAGUGCAGUGGCAUGAUCUCAGCUCACUGCAACCUCCGUCCACCUCCCAGGCUCAAGCGAUUUCUCCUGCCUCAGCCUCCCAAGUAGCUGGGAUUACAGGCGCCCGCCACCAGGCCCAGCUAAUUUUUGUAUUUUUAGUAGAGACGGGGUUUCACCAUGUUGGCCAGGCUGGUCUUGAACUCCUUACCUCAAGUGAUCCACCUGCCUCAGCCUCCCAAAAUGCUGGGAUUACAGGCGUGAGCCACUGCGCCUAGACAAUUUUUACUUUUUUUUUUUUUGAGACAGAGUCUUGCUCUGUCGCCCAGGCUGGAGUGCAGUGGCGCAGUCUCGACUCACUGCAAGCUCUGCUUCCCGGGUUCCUGCAUUACAUCUGCCUCAGCCUCCUGAAUAGCUGGGACUACAGGCGCCACCACCAUGCCCAGCUAAUUUUUUGGUAUUUUUAGUAAGAGCGGGGUUUCACCAUGUUAGACAGGAUGGUCUCAAUCUUCUGACCUCGUGAUCUGCCCGCCUCGGCCUCCCAAAGUGCUUGGAUUACAAGCAUGAGCCACCGCACCCGGCAAUUUUACUAUUUUUAUGUUUUAUUUCCAAAAGCUCUUGAACUUUUUACUAUUUAUGUGCAAAUUCUUUUUUUUUUUGAGACGGAGUUUCACUCUUUCUGCCCAGGCUGGAGUGCAAUGGCAUGAUCUUGGCUCACUGCGACCUCCGUGUCCCGGGUUCAAGCGAUUCUCCUGCCUAGCCUCCCAAGUAGCUGGGAUUACAGGCGUGCACCACCACGCCCAGCUAAUUUUGUAUUUUUAGUAGAGAUGGGGUUUCACCAUGUUGGCCAGGCUGGUCUCGAACUCCUGACCUCAGGUAAUCUGACCGCCUCGGCCUCCCAAAGUGCUGGGAUUAUACGUGUGAGCCACUGAGCCCCGCCAUACUGAUAAAAUUUUUAAAUUGCACACGAUAAGACAACAUUCCCGUUGUUACCCCAACGACUUAGUGAGGGGGUGGGUGCCUGCCACUGAGCUAGGCAUGAGGGAUAGAGAAAUGCCCUUUAUGACCUCAAAUUCCAAAAGAAAGGUGAGACAAAUAUAAACAAAAACAACACACCGCUCUGGGAGCUCAGAGGGACUCAGUAAUACAGGAUGUUCCAAAUAACUGAUACUUGGGCUUGAAGAACGAAAAAGUAGAGAAUUGUAAGAGAAUUCUAUGUGAACAGUGCUUGUAUGGAAGAGUUGAAUAAGGGUGUUACAGUAGGUAGCUAGUGAGACAUGAGCCAGGCAGGAGUGCUGCCCCAACCCCACCACCAGGAAUGUCAGGCAACCAUCAGGUGAUGGUCAGGUGGUUGUUAAACUUGUCUCUAAAAUAGUAAUUGGUUACAGCCAGCACCAGGGAAAGGCAGUCUCUCAAUAGAUGGAAAACACUUGAAACUGGUGAUCAGCAGCUUCUCGAUAAGAUCUCACAAGUUGGAGAAGUGCACCAAGAGGCAAAAUGGUGUUUAAUGGUACAUGCCCUUCCUCCAGGAAUGCUAGACCCGUAAGGGAAGACUGCCUCAAGUAGGCAUGUGCACAACUUCAGUAUACUGAACACACUGUGCUUGUGGCCCCUCCAAGUGCUGGCAGGCCACUGUGCAUGUGGACAGUCCACGCCAAGGUAAGAAUCAGGGGAGAAGAGAUGCAAACCCUAAACCCCUGGAAGCAUGCCAAUGUAUGAAACUCCAAGUCAAAGGUCAAACCAGGGACUUGAAUCUGUCAAGUCAUUCACUUGGCCCUCUUCCAAGUGUACUUUACUUCCUUUCAUUCCUGCUCUAAAACUUUUUAAUAAACGUUCAUUCCU